GUCAUAAGUCAAGUUAAUGGUUUGUUUGCUUGCUUGUGUGUGUUUGUGUGUUUCUCUCUCUCUCUUCUACCCUCUCUCUUCCUUCCUCUUCCUCCUCCUCCCCUCUCUCCCUCUCUCUCUCUCUCUCUCUCUCUCUCUCUCUUCACCCCUCUCAUUCAUUCUCUCUCUCCAUCCAUCUCACCCCACUCCCUUUCUUCUUCUCUCAGAAAUUAGAGGUGAUGGUUUAAGAGGCAUCUGAGAGAGGAGUGAGUGGACAUCAGUUCCAUACCGCCCCCUCCUGGUGUCAAGAACAGAAGACAAGGUACAAGUCCACUCCCAGCCCCUCCCAGUGCCUCCUGGGGCCUCAGACCAGUCCAGCCAGCUGAUAGAGGUCCUCACACAGCAACAACAGAAGUGUCUGUGCCAGCAGUUCACCCACAUGGGGGAGGUCACUGAGACAACUAGGUUGGAAGUGCUGGCAGAGGAGUGUAGGAGACACCUGGAGGUAGUGAAACAGGCACAGAGUAGAGGACACCUGUUACCCCCAUACACAGAGGAACGCACCUUCAACACCUACAGGUACACUACCAACACACACCUCACGCACACCUCACGCCCACCUCACGCACACCUCACGCACACCUCACGCAACACACCCAGUCACAAAUGACACAUAGAGGAACUCACCUUCUACACGUACAGGGGCUUGUAACAAGUGCAUUGAGAGACCAGUGCUGUGGCCCUCUAGUGGUGGUGUUGACAUAUAGCCAUUCAGUCCAGUCCUGGGGUUUGUUUCUGCUAGUGCAACGUGAGGUAAGUACAGCCAGACAACCCUAUGGCUUUUUCCAGUUCCAGGCAUUGAAUAAGAAUGAUUUCCCUGAAACGUUUGUGUGUGCGUGUGAGUGUCCACGGCCAACAGAUGGCUGCAUUGACUGUCCCUGACAGAGACUGAGGCAUAGAGACACUGGCCCAGUCUUUUCAUCAAUCCUCUUAUUGAUUAACUGAUUUGCUGAUCCAUGCCAAUGCCCACAGGCUGAUAGAUACACUGGGCCGAGCAGCAAACACACACCCUACAUUCCCCCUCUCCUUGUGUUUCUAUCCAGUAGGAACAUCCCCUCGCUAACAGGUAGUGACAUGGUGUUGACCAUAGUGAAGGGCAUCAAACUCCUGGUCCCUACAGGUAUGAAUAACUUAAUCAUACUGUAGGAUUAUAUCCCCCGUUCUCUCAGGAGGAAGCGCAGAGGGACCAAACCCGCUCUGUGAGAAGCACUACCUGUCCAGGUACCUGCUAUAUAUCACUCCUCAAACACUACCUGUCCAGGUACCUGCUCUUUAACACUCCUCAAACACUACCUGUCUAGGUACCUGCUCUAUAACACUCAUCAAACACUACCUAUCCAGGUACCUGCUCUAUAACACUCCUCAAACACUACCUGUCCAGGUACCUGCUCUAUAACACUCCUCAAACACUACCUGUCCAGGUACCUGCUCUAUAACACUCUUUAAACACCACCUGUCUAGGUACCUGCUAUAUAACACUCCUCAAACACUACCUGUCCAGGUACCUGCUAUAUAUCACUCCUCAAACACCACCUGUCCAGGUACCUGCUCUUAAACACUCCUCAAACACUACCUGUCUAGGUACCUGCUAUAAAACACUCCUCAAACACUACCUGUCCAGGUACCUGCUAUAUAUCACUCCUCAAACACUACCUGUCCAGGUACCUGCUCUUUAACACUCCUCAAACACUACCUGUCUAGGUACCUGCUCUAUAACACUCAUCAAACACUACCUAUCCAGGUACCUGCUCUAUAACACUCCUCAAACACUACCUGUCCAGGUACCUGCUCUAUAACACUCCUCAAACACUACCUGUCCAGGUACCUGCUCUAUAACACUCUUUAAACACCACCUGUCUAGGUACCUGCUCUAUAACACUCCUCAAACACUACCUGUCCAGGUACCUGCUCUAUAACACUCUUCAAACACUACCUGUCCAGAUACCUGCUCUAUAACACUCCUCAAACACUACCUGUCUAGGUACCUGCUCUAUAACACUCCUCAAACACCACCUGUCUAGGUACCUGCUAUAUAUCACUCCUCAAACACUACCUGUCUAGGUACCUGCUCUAUAACACUCCUCAAACACUACCUGUGCAGGUACCUGCUCUAUAACACACCUCAAACACUACCUGUCCAGGUACCUGCUCUAUAACACUCCUCAAACACUACCUGUCUAGGUACCUGCUAAAUAACACUCCUCAAACACCACCUGUCUAGGUACCUGCUAUAUAACACUCCUCAAACACUACCUGUCCAGGUACCUGCUAUAUAUCACUCCUCAAACACUACCUGUCCAGGUACCUGCUCUAUAACACUCCUCAAACACCACCUGUCUAGGUACCUGCUAUAUAACACUCCUCAAACACUACCUGUCCAGGUACCUGCUAUAUAACACUCCUCAAACACUACCUGUUCAGGUACCUGCUAUAUAACACUCCUCAAACACCACCUGUCUAGGUACCUGCUCUAUAACACUCCUCAAACACUACCUGUCCAGGUACCUGCUAUAUAACACUCCUCAAACACUACCUGUCCAGGUAUCUGCUCUAUAACACUCCUCAAACACUACCUGUCUAGGUACCUGCUCUAUAUCACUCCUCAAACACUACCUGUCCAGGUACCUGAUCUAUAUUACUCCUCAAACACUCCAACACACCCUUACGCGCAUCGUUGUCCCAAUGAUGCUAGUCUCCAUAAGACAGUUCUGUUUGAGGUUUUUGAAUCCUUACUCUUCUAUCCAUCUGUCAUUACUCCUUCCUCACUCAUUCUCUCUCUAUAUCUCUAUUUAUUCUUAUUUUAUCCUAUAUUUUUCUCUAUCCCCAUCUGUCAUUACCUCUUAAUUUUGUUGUUUUGCCCCCCCCCCCGGAUGGCCGACCGGUCCUAUCUUUCUGGCCGACUGCUCCUAUCUGACCGGCUGGCCGACUGGUCCUAUCUAGCUAUUCUUUGUGUUUUGAGGGUGGACUGACUGUAUUAUUUGGCAUUAAUAG
RNAcentral lists this long non-coding RNA (3030 nucleotides) under Salmo salar (Atlantic salmon). RNAcentral describes it as "lncRNA (ENSSSAG00000084905.1)". The record is from RNAcentral. Lineage: Eukaryota; Metazoa; Chordata; Actinopteri; Salmoniformes; Salmonidae.